UGUACGCCUAUCCAUGGCCAUAGGAGGUAUAUGUAUGUAGUGUAGCCUACACACAUAGGAUUGGGAGGCGAGACGAAGAUAACGAGGCUAUAGCGAAUUGCCUAACCAUCUAAAUCACAGCCAGUUUUAGAGUUGAGCUACAAAAUGCUUGGAAGAUCUCUCUGGUUUAACUGCAAUACAACUGUGCCUAUGUUUGUGCAAUUUGAUCAAGAUAGAUAUUCGUAAUGUGGAGGGCAGUGGGUAGCAAUACAAAAACAUUGGAGUUCUGCAAGCCAAGUCAAGAAAGUUCGUGAUUAUGCCAAUUAUAGGUCCAGUGAAAGAAAGCUAAGCUGAUCGUAUCUGGCUAAGUAAGUCUGCAUGUAUAUGAAAUUAAUAUGGUAACAACAAUAUUUCCAAGCAUCGAGAACCCUUUCCAAAUAUCAAUCCAUAAACUCGCUUUUAAUACUGACAUGAUAGUAUGAUUGUAUUAUUCUGGAGCCCAAAGUUGAAGCAACAGUGUAACACCAGCACGGCAGCAUGAGGGUGACUGGAUGUAUAGCUGCCUGGGUGAGAGGACUU
RNAcentral lists this long non-coding RNA (558 nucleotides) under Oryza brachyantha (malo sina). RNAcentral describes it as "long non-coding RNA (OBRA_LNC003288)". Lineage: Eukaryota; Viridiplantae; Streptophyta; Magnoliopsida; Poales; Poaceae. The record is from RNAcentral.